UACGUAGGGGGCAAGCGUUGUCCGGAAUUAUUGGGCGUAAAGAGCGCGUAGGCGGUCCGGUAAGUCGGUUGUGAAAGUCGGGGGCUCAACCCUCGGAUGCCGAUCGAUACUGUCGGGCUAGAGUCCGGAAGAGGCGAGUGGAAUUCCCGGUGUAGCGGUGAAAUGCGCAGAUAUCGGGAGGAACACCUAUGGCGAAGGCAGCUCGCUGGGACGUUACUGACGCUGAGACGCGAAAGCGUGGGGAGCAAACAGG
This 253-nucleotide ribosomal RNA is filed under the name uncultured bacterium. RNAcentral describes it as "partial 16S ribosomal RNA". It matches the Rfam family "Bacterial small subunit ribosomal RNA", at positions 524 to 776 of the family's 1533-position model. The record is from RNAcentral.